CAGCAGUCUCUUUCCAGAUAAAUGCUAUGUAGGAGGUAGUGCACUCUUCUAUUCUGUGUCCCAGCACUGUCAGUAUGUUUUAGGGAAUAUAAUGCAGUAUUUUUUUUGUUCAUUUGAAAUAGUGCUCAACAGCCUGUCCAGACGAGCGCAGGCAUUGUCUUUGUUUAUUGUUAAGAUGCUAGAUCUUGAUUUAAGAAAUCUGCCUAUUCAUGAUUUCAUUUGUUUUUAUUUUUACAUAUGCUGCAAAUACACUAUUUUUCAAAGAUUAAAGAAGUCAUAUGCAUUAUUCUUGAUGAAACUUCCAUUUUUAAUGAAACACUAAUGUGUAAAGUUAAGAUUCUUAUAUAAAUAUCCGUUAAAUAUUUAACAGUUGUACAGAUUUUUACAUGAUAUUUUUUUCUACUCAUGGUGUAUUACAGGCUUUCAUGGAGAUGAAUAUUUGUCAUGUUUAAUUUGGAGUGUUUAGUCUUGCAUCUUGCAUGUAUCAUGGUUGUGGAUCUGUAAGGGAUUGGUAGCAUGCUGUGAAUGAAAGAACAACUUAACAUUGACAACUCAGCAUUAAAGAUCGAUAUGUAUCCUGAAUGCAGCGAUGCUACCUACUGGGGGUUUCUAGAUCCUGCAUUCAAGGAAGUUCUGAGCUUUUGGUCAGCCAAAAUAAAAUUAAUGGAAACUAA
Tympanuchus pallidicinctus (lesser prairie-chicken) is the source of this 674-nucleotide long non-coding RNA. RefSeq lists it as uncharacterized. The transcript is spliced from 2 exons. Lineage: Eukaryota; Metazoa; Chordata; Aves; Galliformes; Phasianidae. The record is from RefSeq and is a predicted model, not a curated record.